UGACAGGUGCUGCAUGGCUGUCGUCAGCUCGUGUCGUGAGAUGNUGGGUUAAGUCCCGCAACGAGCGUAACCCUUGUCUUUAGUUGCCAGUAUUUAGUUAGGCACUCUAAAGAGACUGCCUCGGUUAACGGGGAGGAAGGUGGGGAUGACGUCAAGUCCUCAUGGCCUUUAUACCCAGGGCUACACACGUGCUACAAUGGGCUGUACAAAGGGUAGCUAAUUCGCGAGGAAGCGCUAAUCCCAAAAAGCAGCUCUCAGUUCGGAUUGGAGUCUGCAACUCGACUCCAUGAAGGUGGAAUCGCUAGUAAUCGUGGAUCAGCACGCCACGGUGAAUACGUUCCCGGGCCUUGUACACACCGCCCGUCACACCACGAAAGUCGACUGUACCAGAAGUUGNUGGGCUAACUCCGUUUACGGAGAGGCAGGUACCUAAGGUACGGCCGGUAAUUGGGGUGAAGUCGUAACAAG
RNAcentral lists this ribosomal RNA (468 nucleotides) under uncultured bacterium. RNAcentral describes it as "bacterial SSU rRNA". It matches the Rfam family "Bacterial small subunit ribosomal RNA", at positions 1032 to 1495 of the family's 1533-position model. The record is from RNAcentral.